This 76-nucleotide transfer RNA is filed under the name Acidobacteriota bacterium. RNAcentral describes it as "Acidobacteria bacterium tRNA-Asp". Lineage: Bacteria; Pseudomonadati; Acidobacteriota. The record is from RNAcentral.
GGGCGCGUAGUUCAGUUGAUUAGAACGCCUGCUUGUCACGCCCGAGGCGGCAGGUCGCGGGACACCGCCGCGACUU